RNAcentral lists this long non-coding RNA (35932 nucleotides) under Cucumis sativus (cucumber). RNAcentral's name for it is "long non-coding RNA (CSAT_LNC000005)". Lineage: Eukaryota; Viridiplantae; Streptophyta; Magnoliopsida; Cucurbitales; Cucurbitaceae. The record is from RNAcentral.
GCUGAUUUUCUUUGAUUGACUUUGAACAGGUCCUUCGGCUAGGCGCAAAGUUCUAAUGGAUAGUCCUACGGACUCCGGACGGGGGAACCGAAGGCGCAAAGAAUAUUGCCCAUAUUGCCUCUCGUCUUAUUCCACUACUUAAGAAAAGCAAAGAAUAUUGCGAUGAAUCAUAUUUGAAAGGCGGUCGAUGAGCAAAGAAUUUGCACGGAGGCGCAAUGAAAUAUGCGAUUGAGAGUAGGUGCUUUUUCUGAGGGGUGAGGGGUAAAUCAAGAGGUCGUAUUGGUCGUGGAGCAGGCCACGAGGAAGGGUUACGGUUCGACUUCAAUCAAUUCGGAGAUUGAGAAUAAUCUAAGAGAAGGUUGCCAGUGAGGUGGUUCAUGUGAGAGAGGAAGAUAGCCACUGAAUAAGGAUAAUCAUCUUUCUUCUGCAUAAGCUUGUUAAGAUGACAACUGGAUAAGCUGCAUCAUAAGAUAAGCUUUCCACGGAUUCAAAGGGCUAGUAGGCCCCAUGGCAUGUAGACCUCGCUCCAGCCUUUGCCUCAGACAUUCUUCUUCAGUCGAGCUAUUUCAUAACCUAGGCUUUCUCUUUGGACGGAGGCUGAAUUCAUUGAGAGAACUUAUCCUAUUUUAUGUCUUUUAUUGAGGCUAGGGCAACUAUUUCUCAAAAAUACAAAAGAUGUAAAAGCUCGGGGAGUCAGACGAAGGAUUAAUCUCUGCACAAUAAGGAAGAGAGCAGAAUCAAUGAACAUCCAUAAAAGAAAUUAGGGGCUGCUGCUUAUCCAGUUGUCAAUACAGCUUCGGGCUUGAAAGCAUUGAGGCAGGCAUAAGCCGGCCCAUCAACCUAGCCCCUCUUAUGAGAAUAAGGCACAUAAGGCGCAAAGAAUAUUGCGGAAAAGAAUAUUGAAAAUGAAAACAUCCGUCAAAAUUAGGGUUGUGAACUAAUCUUAGAGCACUCAAAAAAAGUACCAUACCUUGGGCGGAUAGCGGGAAUCGAAGGAUUGCGGGCAGGACAAUGAAAACUGACUAACCCCCUGUACCCUCACCUCAUUACUCUGAGGAAUUGCUUGAACUGCUAGUGAGAGAUGGAAUCGAAGCAGUAGAAAAUGGUAAAGGAAGGACCGCUACGUGGGCAUCUGGAAGUCAUCUUCACCCUUGUUUUUGGUCAGGUAUAACUAUUGAACUCGGGGCUGAUUACUCUACUCUACUGCCUUAGCUAGAGGUCGAUCGGCCCAAAACCAUACUCUAUUUCAUCCGUGGAUUCCUAAGUCUCUAUACUCUAUUCUAUAUACGCAAAUCCUUCCUUUCCUCGCUGGAAUUGAAACCUAAAAGAAAUACGAAUUGAAUUUUGAUGGGACGUGGAAUAGGUCAAGGUUGAGGGUAGAGUUACCGCUACGUGGGCUGCUCCAGGGAAGACCCCGGACGGAAAGAGAGAUAGAAAGAGAGUUCGAUCCGAAACAUAAGAACGAAAGAAGAAAGGAUUAAGGAAGACUCCGCGAACAAAGCCCUUGGGAAAGAGAUCUCAUUCUUUGAAUUGAGUGCUAUGCAUUCACAAAAAAGAGAAAGGAAGAAGACUCCUAACCGUCCGAAGGACUAUUCAUCAUAUUUGAGAGGUUAAACUGGGGGUCUCACUUCAAGUUCGAGAUCUGACUCAUGGAGUGACUCAAAAAAGAUAACUUAGAAGAAUGCCAGCAUUUCGGAGUAGAUAUAUUUAUAGUAGUUCUAGCAAAAAAAUAGUUCACACCUGUCCUCCGGACUACGGAUAAAUCACCUGGACCUUUCUUUGGCCCUGCGGACUCCGGACUGCGGACUACGGACUUCUUCUUCUUUAAAAGGAAGGGUCCAGGUUUCAUAAGACUCCUUCUACGCGGUCUCGCAAUAUUCUUUUCACUGGGGGAGGCUCAAUGCAAUUUGAGUUGCGACUUUCACGAAAAACCCUGAUAAGUGAACCCAGGUCUCGCUACCAAACCAUCCCGUGUAGUGGGAUCGAGCCCCUUACGAGCACUGUCGCAGGGGAGUCGUUGGUUCCGCUUGCUCUUUCAGUACGAGGAUAGAGAAAGAAAGGCUCGCGAUAAGCCUUGGCUUUGAGAUGAGGCGAGGCGGAGUGGCUGAUCAGCUAGGGCAAUUCCCUUUCUUCAGUGCUUUGGCUCUUUCCUUAUUUUAUUGUGAAAUAAACUUAGCUGCCUAACGCCUUUCUGAAAAUCAAAGGAGAUUUCUUGGUCGAAACCAAAGCACUGAACUUAGUCGCGAAGAAGAAGCGAGACCCCUCCGGAGGAGAAGGAUAGGGGUUCAAAGAAUAUUGAAGCAAGGAGCAAAGAAUAUUGCGAGACCUCAGGAGUCUGAGAUCAAUGAAUGAGUGGAGUAUGAAAGAUCAGAGUGAAUAGGAGAGAGAGAAGAGAAAGAAAGGGCUUGUCCCCCACGGAGCAGGGGAAGUAACUGCAAGCUUUCUUUCCACCUUUGCCGAAUAGGGGUGGUUGCGGGCAUUGAAAGAAUGGGUUGGGGCCCUAGCUUCUUGAGGCAGUGCCAGUCGCAGUUCUCGUUCUUGAAGUUCUUCUUUCAACUCAUCCGCCUUUGGAGGUUAGCUAUAGCUAGGCCCAUAAUGAAUUAGACUAGAAGCAAGCUCGACCUCUGUAAUAGUACAAGCAGAAGAAAUCCAAAAACUCUACAUAUUAAGCUGUAAAAUCAAUAUAUAAGGAUCUUUGAGCUUAACUAAGGCGCAAAGAAUAUUGCGAAGGCUCAAUUUGAGGAGGAAAGAAUAUUGCGGAAAAGAAGAAAGGAGCGCAAGGCGCAAAGUUCGGUUAAUUACGGAAAGUCCGGAGGACAGAUAAAGAAAGGCUUUUGAUUUGACUUUUCCAACUCCGUUCCAGUUCGCCAAGGAGUGUGAGUCUUGAGCGGAGGCAUAAAAAGCCGAAUCAUAAAGACGGAGCACCACCCACUCUUUUUGAAAGGGAGAAAACGACUCAAAAAAAGAGGAGCAUCUCCAUGGGCGAGGACUCUUUGGACGGAGGACGAGGAUCAGAAAUCAAGAAAGCACUACGCGGGAAGAAUGGAUAUUGUCUUAGGAGCAGCGAGACCGCGGAAGGACGAGUCUUAUUCCACCAAGGACCACGACGGAGCAGCUCGCAUAUUGAAUUGGGCCUCCUCGAAUAUGAAUUCAUCCUAACAAAAAGAAGAAAUAUCCUCUCCGUUAGGCGCAAAGAAUUUGCGAAGGACUAUCCAUAUUAACCUGUGACGCCUUCUGACUAUUCAUCAUAUUUUUAAGAAAGCACUGGACUUUUCUUUCUCUUUGACAAUUGUAAAAGAAGGUGAAAUAUCCUUUAUAGGUCUGACCUUUCAAAGGUAAGAGGUCAAAGCAAAGCAAGCUUGCGAAGCAAGCGAGGCAAGAGCUUCUUUCAGCUUUUCCCGAACCAUUUGAACUCCAAUUUUUUCCUCUGCUGCUUUCAGCCCACUCCACUUCAUUGACCGAGACUUUCUAUUCGGUUAAAGACCUAGCCACGAGACCAACUCCUGUCUUCUGAGAUCAAUUCCCAGAUGCUUCGAGGCCGCAAGCUUCUUUAGUUUAGAGAAGGAGAUUUCUUCUGAAUCAGGGAAACUGCUCAACCGGAACUCUUCCCAUAGGCAUGAUUAUGCACUAGCAAGUUCCAAGAAGAGAAGUCAUAAGCCAAAGAUGUAUUCGAUCCUGAAUUUCAGGUAAUCUUGGCCGAUUGGUGGGCCCACGUAGGGCUUUGAUGAGCGAAAGAGCAUCCUCAACUCCCAGUCCCGGGUAAAGGUCAAGGUCUUUCAAAAGUCCAGAGAAGAAUUUUCAAUGGAAAGGAGUCAAGUUCAUCCGCAGGGAAGGCAAUCCAAUCGUCGGAAGAAGCGUCUUUCAAAAUCAAGCUCAUCCUCAUCAUUCAAGGCAUAUUUCAUUCCGCCUCAGUCCUAUCCAUAUUAACCCAGAGACUGUUAAGGAGUGCAACUGAUUAAUGGAAAAAAAUAGUCAUUUGAGAAAGAUUCUCUAGACAAAAACCUCCCUAGCUAGCUGCAAUCCAAACCUCACCUCUCCCAUGUUGGGAAUUCUCUUCUGCUCGUGGAUAUCUAAUGCUAGAAGUUCGAGCAAAUAUAAGGAAGCCGCAGGCUUAGGUUCGUCAUUUAUUGACGGAUUUUCCGGGCUUAAAUGACUUUCUUUUUCCUUCUACCAAUCCCAGUUCGGCUAAGACGAGGCAAUGUAUAUUGUUUUCAGUGGCACGAGCUUCUUCUUGUGAUGAGACUUUGGAUCAAUUGAACCGGGUCCAGGGGUUGACUCUAUGGCUAUUCCGCUUUUUCCGACAGCUGCUAACUCACUGGCACGCUUAAGGCCCUUGCGCCUGGUCUUUCAAAGCCUUGGGCUUGAGCAAGGUUCGAAUUCCGGGUUUUAUAUAUAUAUAAAAGGUGGGAGAACUCCGAGCAAUAUUCUUUCCUCCUUGCCUCUCUUUUCAAAUGCUCUUAAAUAAAGAGCGGUUACGCCAUCAACAGCGAAAUCGAUGGCACUCGCCUUCUUUCAGCAUUGAAUAAGUAACUUCCUUUCCCACCUCUCCCUUCCGCUGCUAAGCAGAAUAUAGCUCUUCUUCCUUUCCUCCCGGGUGAAGAAAAGCCUAUUCACCUUUGCUUUAAUGGCGAAGGACUCUUUCUGGUAUAAGGCGAUUCAAUCUUCUUUGAACCUAGUGAACAUCUUCUUUUGAUUGCUAAACUCUACUUGAGACUUUCCCUUUGAAUCCCUUCUAUCCUUCCCUCCUUACCUCUGUCUACAGAGCCCAUCUAAAUGCCUCAGCCUAAGACAUCUCAGUGGAAUGCCUCUAAUGAGCUCUUUCCGGCAGCAAGUCUCGGGUAUUCUAUCCUCCCAUACAUCCUUCCGACAAGGCAUGAAAUAGCAUAAGAUAAGGCUUCGCUACCUGACUUCUCAGCCAUUCUAUAAGCUAUAAGAAAAGUCAAGAGUAAUCAAAUCGAUAGUUAUUACGGAUCUCAUAUUCCUUAUUAACCUUGGCUACACCAUCAGUCAUUUCCUUUUUGACUACCCCAUAACCUUCUCUUGCUUGGUGUUCCAACCAAGCCGGCAUCCGAGCGGCCCACGGAGAAAAUGAGAAAAGGAAAGAGGAAAUUUCCCUUGAGCCACAGAAGAGAAGACAAAGGAUUAGCCUUUGACUAUGCUCAGGCUUCACACCAAGUCAAUCCUAUAUAUAUUCUUUGCACCUCUCCUUUCAUUCAAUAUUCUUUGAACCUUCUUCAUUGAGCGGAGGACUUAUCCUCUUAUUAGUUUCUUUCUAGUCUUUACAAUCAUCAAGACCUCCGGACCGAUCGGUCUAUAAUAUCCAAGCAAGAACAACGGACACUUCAACCGCAGUAGACCAUUUCCCAUAUGGUGGUCUUUCUUCACCCUUUGGAGGAUUGGAGGUCUUACUCCGCGCGCCCUUUUCUGUACGGGUACGUGCCCUUUAUCGUCUUUCUUUUCCGCCUAAGAUUCCUUGUUUAAUACGAGAAAUCUCAAAGUACAUUUUCAGCAAAAAAGACCCGAAGUAGGAAAUGCAGCAAGUUUUGUUGUCAAAUCAAUGGAUUUUCCUUCUUAUAGAAAUCUCGUUUUGUACAUAAAUUGCGUAAAGAGCUAUUUGAGCACUUAAACAUAGAAAGGGGAGAAUGGGUCGUCAGUUAGCAUUUGCUAAAGAAAUGCGCAAUCAACUCGUAUAGCCUACCCAACUUAAUAAAGAGACUCCGCUACUUCAGUGGAAGAGGUGGAAUUCGAUCCAGGCUGAUAGCUCCCCAGAUCCUGCAACAGACCUCGCAAUAUUCUUUGCACCCCAAAAAAAGUGUGAAAUCCGCUAAAGUGCUACUGCCUUCUGAGUUCUUGCUUCCCUUCCCACUCCUGUAAACUCUGUAAAGCCUAUUAUUUCCUUCUCCAACUCGGUAUUCGGUAUAUUGAAUAAGCGCUCGCCAGCACAGCACAUCCUCAAAGAGAAUUCCAAAAAGAAAGGUCCAGGGUCCGGAGUCCUACGUCCGCAGGAUUUAUCCUACGUCCGGAGGAUUUAUCCGUAGGACCAUCCAUAUGGAGGGAAGUAGGACUAUCCAUAUGGAAGUAGUCCGGAGUCCGCAGGAUUCUUAUCCGUAGGACUAUCCAUAUGGAAGUAGGACCAUCCGUAAUUAACCGAAGUAGUCCUCCGGACUUUCCGUAAUUAACCGAACUUUGCGCCUAGCCGAAGGACCUGUUCAAAGUCAAUCAAAGAAAAUCCGUUCAUUAACGAUAAUGAAAGAAGAAAAAAAGCAAAUUCAUCUGCUAGAUUUCAGACAUCUUUGCUUAAUGAAGACGGAGUGAAUUCCAUGAUUUUGCAAGGUUUUGCCCAUAGGAAGUAGCAAGAAAAGACAAAAAAUCAGUCAAAAUUGAUCUAUUUUCGUUAAAUAUCAAUAUGAGAAAAAGUAUGAAAAAGAAGCAAAAAAGCCGGGAAAUAGCAACUGGUCCAUUAUCAAAAUCUAGGUCAAAGAAAUUCUCAGUUCUAGUUUGAGUUUCUGGUCCGGAUACUGACGGGUCUAUUCUGGAUUCCGCUCCUCCGUUCUAAUGGCGCAAAGAAUAUUGCGGUCAUGAUUCCCAAGGCUAAUAUGGAUAGUCCUUGCACUCCGUCCUCUUGACUCGUUUUCUCUUCUUAGAUAAAUGCGCUUCUCAAUAUUCUUUGAGCUCUUUAUUCAAUGAUCUUUGAGCCUUAGUUAGGAUCAAUGAAAUUUGAUUGUUGAGAGAACGAAUUCUUCAGCUGCUUCAGUGAAUGCACCAAGGAGCUCCUAUUCUUCUGACUCUUCCAUCCUGCCGCUGAGCUCCUAGCCGGUCGUUCUAAUUCCUCCUCCGCGACUGGAUUACCGCUACGUGGGGUAUGCCGAACUUUCUUCUUCCCUCGUUCAGUUGAGCUGCUUCGUAUCCGUCUGUGUGAGCGGCUCGCACCUCGCCCUCUCGUGGCCUCGUAUUUUUCUCUUUUGAGGUUACGAACGGAUAAAGAAAAUGUGUCUGAGCGGAACGAUUUACUGAAUAUUCUAUGAUAUACGAAACUGUAUAAUGACCCAAUAGCAAGAUCCGUCAAACUCGUAGUAAAGCUGCUGAGCCCCUUCCCCUAGGCUUUCUUCUUAUGGUCGGCUUCCGAGGGGAGGGGUACGGUUCUCCUGAGUUUACUUAUUCAGGUAUACCAUUAAGAAUCAGACUGAUCAAGGCAGAGGAAGGGCCUCAAGCAAUAACUGAAAUCGGAACAUCACUCAAUAGUAGCAGCUUGGGCCCAUAGAGGAGGGUUGAUCUGGUAUGCUUUUCCUGCAUUUCUCUUUUUUUAGUGGUCUAAUCAAUAUAUAAAGAAUAGUCGCAAUAUUCGAGCAAUAUUCUUUGCGCCUACGCGGACGGGUCAAAGAGACUUGAGUUUUUUGAUGCUUUUUCGCAGCACUAACCAGGCGCUUAUUAGCCUAUUUCGGCCCCCUCUCAGUAGAACCUACUAAAAAGAUGAAAGCCUAUCUCCAACCCUUUCUUCUUCAACAUGGGAAAGAUCUCAUUCAAGAGGAAGUAAAGCAGCUUCCACUCGGGAUGCAGACUGAAAGCCGAGGCGCCCGUGGUCCUCAGUCUAGUUGAUAAUAGGAAGUCUUCCCCUAUCUCAAAAUCGAGCCCUCACUCUCGCACAAGACCCCUUUAUUUAUGGAUGUUCAUUGAGCCUCAUUCCGAUUUGACUGACUCUUAGGCACAGCUUCAAUGGCACAGCCACUCAUAGAUAGAGUUCAAUCGCUUCUCAAUAUUCUUUGAUCCUCGCAAUAUGCGCCUCCGGUCGGUCGCUCCGGCUAGUCUCUUCAAUAGGAGGUCCCACCUGGAUCCGCGAAUGAUUUACCUCCUUUUCAUCUCUUUAUGGGAGGGAAUGGAUGGACGGUUGAAGGAAGACCAUACCUUGGUAGAGUACGAGUACAUAACUCCAGAAAAAGAAGACGCCCACUCCGCGGUCCCAUAAGACAGGGAUAUUGAUGAGAGCGAUCUACUAAGAAGAAAAUCUACUGAAAGAAUGCUUUCAACCACUGCCACUGGUGCAAGCAAAAGAGAAAGGGAUGGUGGGGUUCGCUUCGGCUUCCUUCCAUUAGCCUCCCUCUGUACUUUCAUCCUAUAUAUUAGCCGACUGAUUUAUGGAACAUAGACCACUAGGCUUGAUCUUCUUCAAAGCCCUCCUUUUGAUAUUGAUAGGCUUGGAGUUGAUUCUUGUGUCUGACUGAACUUUCUGAAGGCAAAAACCAUAGAUUUGAGGCUUCUAUUCCCCAGUGGAGUCGCCAGCAGUAGGGCCCGCAUUUUCUUUGGCACCGCUUCCCACAUCAUCACUACUUUGGCCACAAAGCCCUAUCAAAAGAAAGAGGAGAAAAAGGGGUUUAGAGGCUUUUUUCUUCCUUUGAUUUUAGGCCGACGGACUCAAGAAUUUGACAUAGAGUCUACGAACCAUUGGUCCGGGUAAGGCCUUCCUUUCUAUAUUCCAGUAUAGUAGCGGGCCCUUAGCGCAGGCAAGAAAUCCAAAAAAAAUCAGUCUUCCAACACGAUUUUUCUUUAAGUAAUGGCCCCAAAGGCGGCUCAUUGAGCCGGUCAUCGGUUGCUAAGAGCCUUUCCUCACUUGAAAAAGCCACUUUUCUUACUGGGACGAAUAUUCGUUCACUGAAAUCGUCGGAUCGACCGGGCCAUAUUUCCUUUUCAUCGGUUGAUUACGCAGAAAAAAGGGAAGAAGGAGCGAGUUAAGGAGAGGAGGCGAGAUCUAAUAUGAGUUGAGAAGCGCAUUUCCUUAGUGGUCCUAAGCCCUUCCUUCCAUAUGGAUAGUCCGGAAGAUUCAUCUGUAGGACUGCGGACUCCGGACUCCGGACCACUACAAGGCGCAAAGAAUAUUGCUCAAAGCAAAGAAUAUUGCGUUAGAAAGGGGAUUAUCUGAAUCCAGAGGUCAGGAGAGAGAGGUAUGAUAAUAUGCUUUCCCAUAGGCCGAGCGGUUAGAAGGAUGCUGUGAAUCUCGAAGUAUUCUCCAAAGGAAAGUCUCAGUUGCCGAAGCUCUGUAGUAAAAGGAAAAUAACUCAUUGAUGUCUUCUCUUCUUAUGAAGGAGUAAUCAGUCUCCAUCAAAAGAGUAUGCAUAUUUGGGGGGCUGAUGUACUUGCCCGCUCGGCCUUCUUUCUUACCGAGAAGGGUGAAGAGCCAGUUGCGGAUGGAGAUUACCUAGCCUCAAGCAAUAAUGAAGAUAGGAAUAGGAUCGAAGGAGGAAUGAGUUACUUCACUCUUAGACGAGAGAGAGCUUUCCCAAGCACCGGAUCCGGGGAUGAAAGCUAUCCGUUUCGGAAGCAAGGGGGCUUCAAUUCGGUCGGGCUAGGUGCCCGCUGUAAGGAGAGGUUUCGAUAGGGUGCGCAGGUGAGAAUCCGAGUUUAGACCUCAGUGGAAAACUUCCCCAGUGGGAUAGGUCUUAAUAAGGAAAGAGAUUUUCUCUUCUUUACGGGAAAGGUUAUCUUUUCUCUUUAGGGUAGCUAGGCAGACUAGAGCUCGGAAUAUGCUCUCCAAAGUAGCUCAGUAGUCUUAGGAGUAGGAUAUGGAGUGGCUCUCGGGGCAGCGAGAGUGGAGUGGGACCAAGGACGAACUCCUUUAGUUGUAGAGUGGUAGAAGACGAAAGAUUCCAGGAAAUUCCUCUUCUUUUCUUUCAUUCCACUGCCAUUUUCGGAUUGAGUCUAUAAGUAAGACUGAUUUAGAUAUGGAUUUGAGAUUCUUCCAUUUCCCCGGUCUUUUUCUUCAUUUUUGGAUUCUCCUGCUUUUAUGAAAAAAAAUCUGAAUAUAAAUCAGUCCCACUAUUUAAGUCUUAUUCCACUAAAAGGCUGAAUUCAAUUUUCGUGACUCGACUCACAUAAAAUAAAGAGGGAUGGACACGCCUGAUACCAAAGUCGGGUGAGUAUGGUCUCUCUUUCGUGAAUCAGAAUUCAGGCUAGUAUGAAUCUCCUAGGAGAGAGGAUGUCUCAUCCGCUACAGUUACCGAUGAAGUGACCGCUGCCCACUGGUCUCGCUGGCCGGCCCAAACCCUAGGUUUUCUUCCUUUUAUCUUAUGCUUUACGAAGAGUUUCUUCUAACCACUGGUGGGAAACUGCCCUCUCUCGCAUUUCAUGGGUUCCUCCUCUCCCGCUACGUGGGGAGGUCAAAGAGGAAUUAAUCAGUCCUCCGCCUAAUUCAUAUGGGGAUCUGCUCAUUCAUAUGGAUCAAAAUCAGUCCCACUAUUUCAAAAGAAAUAUUCAUUGCGCCUCGUCUGAAGACCUUCCACUCGGCCGCUCUCUCUCUCUGUGAGGCUUGACUCAAGCGAAGAGAAGGCAGUCAACCCCGCAAUCAACUCAGUCUUCCCCAGCAGCCCGAGAUCUUCUUCCACUCCCUUGCUCCCUUUCGUACUUAUCUUUAUCUGUCUUCUUCUUCCCAUUUCAGAUGAUAAUGGCAGAGACUGAUUAUGAUACGGAAGAGCUACUCUCUGACGGGAAAGCUGCCAAGGCCUGUCGAUACUUCUGACUCUGGAUCCCUGACCUUUCUAACCUAACCCCCCUUCCGAUCCCUACUAACCCACGGGGCGGAAUCUGAGAAGAACAUCGAUCAGUCGCUUGCAGGAUUUCUGCCUUCUCUUCGCGAUCGGGAAAUCUUUUCUUCUCCUUUUCUAUCUCAUUAUCUCAUUCUUUACGAAAUGCCAUAAAUUCGAUUCUGAGGCCCGUCUAUAAAGUGAUUUUACGCACGUGCCCCAGGAAAAUGCUCAUUCAAAGCAAGGAUGGAUCUUCUUUCUGUAGUCCUUGCUGGAGCCCACUACGCGCUUGCCUAACCCUAGUUCUAGCUCCGAUCCUUAUCUUUCUUAGCAGAAAGCUCUUUCUCGCUCCUUGGAGAAUGCUCUUUCUGAUCCCGAGCCAAGGAUUCAUUCUCCUCCUUGUCAAUAUUCUUUGAACAAGGCUUCCGCUUAAAUCUUUGACUAUACUAGCGCUUUCGACUUGAUAGUGGAACCUUUUCUUUUAGGAGAUGAUGCACAAAUAGAGUUCUUGGUCUCGGGUAGAUAUGGUAGAACAGUGUCUCGUAGCAUUUAAGAAAAGAGAGAGCGCACUUCUCAAAUUCUUUGAGCCGUCCUCCGUCCUUAGUCGUUCUUUAUAUCCAUAUUAGCUUUUCGGCCAAGAUGACAUUCUUUCUUUUUCCAUGAAUGAGUCCGGAGGACUGGUCUCACCUCCCAAAAAUACCCAACCAAGGCAUCCCCUCUUCCUUCCUGUACGGAGUUCUCAUUCUUCUUCCCCAGCCGAUCGAUCCGGACCUGUCCUUUCCCUCUCGUCUUCCUCCACUCCUCCUUACUCCUUUUCAUGAGCUCCUGGGUUUCCAGCACUCUUCGAUUUCUCUUUUCUAAAAGAAAGAGAGUUUCUAGAUAAGCCUCGCCUUAGGAAUAAGGAUCUCAUUCCCGAUCUUUCUACUACUGGAAGAACUAAAGCAGCAAAAGCAAAUCAACUUCAACGGAUGCCUCAUCAGAACCUACUAAAGAAAGCCUACCGCAACAAAGAAAAGAGGUCAAGGAAAGCCUACCUUGAAAUGUGGUCUUCUCAUUCCACUCAAUCUUUCUGUCGAGCAAUCGUCUUCGCCCGAUCCGAAAGAUCUCAUUCCGCUCGAGCUAAGCGGUCCUUUUCUCGUAUCCGUCUCUUGAGCUGCUUCCUAUCCUUCCUUCUAUGGCUUCGCGGAGAUCCAAGGAGUUGUCUUUCUUGCUAUGGCCCCCGGCCGGACCCCUUCCACUCCUUUCCCCCCGGUCAUUCCAACCUUCACCAAGGCAUCCUUAAUCUCCAAUCCCGCAUCCUAAACCUACUGCGCUUGACUCAGUAUAUUGACUAACUACCCCCGAUACAGGAUAAUAGACUUCUUCCUCAAGAGGAAAUGAUAAGAGGCGAAUGGUCGAGCUUAUUCUAAGGUUCAAGAGAUCAUGCCCUAUCUUCAACCGUGGGCUUACUAAAUACUUGGCUUUUCUACCGCUACGUGGGUAUCCCGAGUUUGCAUGAGAAAGGGUUUAUUCCUCAACGCCUCUCCAAAUUCCCAUAGAAAGAGAGGUCUAUUCUUCUCAAUAUUCUUUGACCCUCCAGGUGAUUCAAUCAGAAUUCUUCUUUCAUUCGAGUGAAUGAGUUCAUUCUGCUUUCAUUCUCGUUAAUGAGCUUCUUUGAUUGACUUUUCACAGGCGCAAAGCAUAUUGCGUGUUUGCGUGUUUGCGUGACAAAGAAUAUUGCAAGAAUGCAGAAAGAAGAAGAAGAUCAGUGCUUACCCACUGGAAGACCAUUAUAAAGGACUUAUAUCUUUUCGUUAUCAACCACUAUUUAGAGCACUUGAUGACUGAAAUCUCUUAUACACUGUACUAAUCGCAGAGCUUGAUAAAUGACUAUUGAAUAUUGAGAAAGAUAUAUUGAAAAAGUCGUACAGAGUAUGAAAUUCUGAGAAGAAGAGGACUGGGCUUAACUUUCUCUGAUUAUUUCAUUCGCGGAGCUUUAUAAAGAAAGAGAAGUCGCAUGCACUAUCAUUAUUCAUAAAGCACUGAUCAAGGAAGGGCCCAAUAAAAAGGGACUGAUUUUUCCUCUUGUUUUGGGGGCUCGACUAAGAGAUGCGGUUACAGACGUGACCGUCUUCCUGUGCCAGUUGUGGAAGUUGCAGAAUUCGUUCUUGCUGGAUAAGUUUCUCUUCAGUCCCAAGGCAAUUAAUAUCAUUUUCCUUCCGGGGAUUCUUUUCCUUUCUAUGUCGAAAAGACUAUAUAAAAGAAUCAAUCCCGCCUCAGCAUGAAACCUCUAUUUUCUCCUUUCGGCUUCAGAGGCCAGUCUGAGGAGUUUCCCGGGCGCCUUAUAAAUAAAGAAGCCGAUCUCCAUCCACGGGUUUCUAGCAUAAAGGAUGGGGAAUGAAAGGCCUGUGAUCCCCGAUCCAGGUUCUACCUCUUAUAUGAUGCGUGGGGAGUCCUGUACGCUUAUUCAUCCCUUCCAUUAUACUUGUUCAUGAAAGAAAGAAAAUAUGGGAAUCUUUCCACUAGAUCUCGAAGAAAAAGAAGCCCCGCACCAAGGGCAAGAGGGAAAAGCCAGGGUCUAUCCUUUACUGGGGGUCACUCCGAUUCCUGUAUUGGUAUUGAGUCCUUGGGUUCAGUCUCCUUUCCUGCUAAUAAGAAAUUCAUCGAAAUCCUUUAUAACUUCUUCUUCUCAUCGACUACGUCUCCUUCGGAACCUGCGAAUCCGCGAUUCAUUCAUUAUUCUUUCUAAAUAAGAAGAUAUGAAGAACUGCUCAACCCCUCAGCCCCUUUGGUCCGGCUCUUCUCCGAUUGGAAAGAUCUGGUACGGAGUCUUCCCCGGCCCUGGACACUUGGAGUACUGAGUGGGAUUAUGAAUUUCAUAGUUCAUGGGGACUCAUUAAUUCGAUUUCUUUUAUUCAAGACGAGACUUAUCCAUUCGCUACCACCAGUACCAUAUUCCCUUCCAGGUGGUGGGGUUCCUUCAUUAAAGACCGGUAACUCCGAUCCCGUAGGCCUGAUCAAAGGUCAAUCUUGGGUUAAGACCGAUCCGAGAAGCGAGAAGAGAAAGAAAAAAAAGAGAAUGGUUUUAGUAAAGGAAGGGAACUCCUCUUGCCCCUUUGCGAACCAUCUCGAUCGGGUUCAGACAGAUAAAGAUCCCCACGUAGCGGGAAGAGGCCUCAAGGUGGAAUUCUACUCUGACAGGCGCGUAUUAUCUGGACCGCCCGUCUCAAAUUUCCCCUCGGUCAAUGAUAAGUACGAUUAGCAGAACGAAGGCAGAAAGGAUCGGAGCGGUCGGUGCCUAGGUUAUUCAAUCUACAGAAUGCAGAGUCAAGCGAGAAAGAAAGAGAACUAAACUAAGACGGGACUCGAGACGAGGCGAGAUCUAAGCGCGUAGUGGUCAAAUCUGAUUAUCAAUAUCAAGAGCGGAGACGGAGGUUACGAGAAAAAAGAGUAUUCAAGAUCAGAGACAGAGGUUCAAAGAAUAUUGACAAUGAACAAGGAUCAGAUAGAGAAAAUAAUUGCGGUCUUACUCAAUUCAAUCUCAUUUUUUUUUCUUGUGUGCGAUUAUUCAUUAUUUUGAUUCGAAUGACGGAGUACCUCUUUCAAGGUUAUCCCUAGGUCUGGACCUAGAUCAACUUAAGUGAAAUGGAAGGCAAUAUUCUUUCCUCCUCCUUCUGAACCAUUUGCUUUGUCAAACCCAUUAGAUUCGGGCUGCUCUUGGGAAGUAGAUUUAGGUAUGGGAAUUGAUCUAAGUUAGGGUCUUUCUGACUAAAGCUCAUCAACCCUAAUCUAAUUAAGACUUCGUCCUUUCGCUACGCUACGAGACCUCCGACUUAUUAGAGAAAGGUGAUACCAUCUCUGACUCCUUUCGGAUCCUUCUGCGCCUAUCGGUGAAUAUGUAUACUUGAGAAGGUUGAGAUGAUCUCUUGUAUACAAUGAAAUUAGGGAUGGAGAGUCAAAAAUGCCAGCUUGAAUGAGGAUACCCUGACUCCUCUUUGGUUUAUGACCCAGCUCUAUAGAAAUUGGUAACUUACUUCGUUCAGUCUGACUCUUGCUCUGAUUCUGCGGGUUCGGAAAGUCUCUUCCCUCUUCGCCUAUCGUCCCUUGACUUGAUUUGCCGCUGGGAUGUUUCAAAAAUCAAAGAAAGAAAGGUGCAAAGAUCUAUGGCCCCACUACGCGGGAUAUUGUGGGCUAUUCUAAACCAUCCCUUCUCGCUUUAUAUUUGACUUUCUCUCUCAAAUUCUUUGAGCCUCGCCUAGAUAAAAGAUCAUAAACUAAGAAAGGGAUGACCCUACUUCUCUUACGUACGUAACAAAGAACCUUUGACUCGACAGAAGAAGCGAAACUCUACUCGCAUAUUGCUCUCUAUUUAUAAAUAAACUUAGCUCAAGAAAAUUCCCAAGAAUAUCCCGUCCGAAGUCCUUCAUUCGAUCUUUCUUUCUCUGGGUCCUCCGUUUUAGAGUCCUACUUCGGUUAAUUACGGAUGGUCCUACUUCGGUUAAUUACGGAUGGUCCUACGGAUAAAUCCUCCGGACUACUUCCCUCCAUAUGGAUGGUCCUACUUCUAAUGGAUAGUCCUACGGAUAAGAAUCCUCCGGACUCCGGACGUAGGAUAAAUCCUGCGGACUGCGGACUCCGGACUACGGAUAAAUCCUCCGGACCUGUCUUAUGGAACCUUCGGUCUUAAUACUCCUAACUACGGGGUGAGGUGCAAAGAAUAUUGACAGUCUUUCUCUCUCGCAGCUGAGACUCGGCCCUUGCUUCCUGCCAAUGCAUUCUCAUACCAACUCCUAGAAGAUAUAGCAUAUUCUCUACCCACUACGCGGUAUUCUACCUGCGGAUAGCUGAUCUUCCCGCUCCGUGGGCUAAGUAGAAGAGGAAGAAGAGAAGACCAGAGACUUGGCCGCCGACAGAAAAGGGGUCCUUUCCUUCCGAUCCUGGGCCUGGUCCCUUUCGUCGAAAGUAAUAAGUCGAUAACCCUGAAAUGAAACUGAAACCUACACAGCAAGAACGACCUCAAUGAACAAGGGGCCCCAAGAGGACGUUGAAAGAAUGAAUCGCCGAAAUGAAAUAAUGCAUUAAUCUCCUCGCGAAUUAGACGCCCGACCAAAGGUUCUUUCAUCAUCAGCAUAUGUGGAUUCAGUCGGGACGUUUUUGAGGUUCUUUUGCACGAUCUCAAAACCCACUACGCGGCGCUUUCUUUACAUCUUUCGACCUUAAAGCCACUUAUCUCAUAACCUCACGAAUGAAAGAGCAUGCAGACUGGUUAGCAGCUUCAUACCGCCCCCUGGGAUGGGAAUACGAGACAGCGGACCACUCUCCUACUCUUUCUAUUCGCAUAACCGAUCUCCUUUCCAGUCGUAUUCAAACCUCUGCCUAUAUUGGGGAGGAUUCUAGACGCGGGAAGAAACCUAUCCAAAGCCUGAGAAUCUCGCAAUAUCAAUAUUCUGCUUUCGAGCAAUAUUCUUUGCGCCUUCUACGCGGUCGUCCUAAUCCCUUGUUCAUUGAGGUGAGGACCUUUGUUUUUGGAGGAGUUAUCUACCCUUUCUUUGCUUUGUUUAUGGAUCAAAAUCAGUCCUUAAAAUGAACCAAAAUCUUCUUCUCAACAAUAUCCCUGUCUUAUGGUAUGGAGCCUUCAAAAAAGUGGAAUAAGACUCCUAACGUCAGAAACAUUUACCUAUUUAUCUUUAUCAUGACUUUUUCUCAAUAUUCUUUUCUUUCUAUUAGCUCCAUUAAUCAGUCGCAAUAUUCUUUGCACCUUUCUUUCUCAGGAGCGGAAGCGUAGCGUAGCGGACAGCCUUAAAGCACUUGCUUUCAGCGUAGCAGAGCGGUGGGUUCGCUGGCUUCUCCCUUUCUUUUCCAGCGGAGCGGACAGGACACCUACCUUUCUUUUCUCUUUUCCAGAAAAUCGCUGCCUGAGCCCUUAAGAUUUUCAGCUACGCGUAGCGGUGCCUUCGCCCCUCUCCUUUCAGUCGAGCUUCUUCGCCCUGAUGUGAUGACUCUUUCCGUUGGUUCUUGCUGUUGGGCUCCGCCCCGUACACUGACUUCGUGUACUUACUCUGUACUUCUUAUACUUGACUUCUUGUACUUCUUGUUGUCGGGCUCCGCCCCUUAUACACUGACUUACCUCUUGUACUUACCUCUGAUUGUACUUCUUGUUUUGGGCUCCGCCCCGUAUACUUACCUCUUCUUGUUGUUGUUGGGCUCCGCCCCUCACACUUGUUCUUUCUUUCCUGCCUCUUCCACGCAAUAUUCUUUGCACCUCACACGCAACUCAUAUUGCAUUGAGCCUCUUGUUGCUGUUCUCAAAUUCUUUGCCCCUUAUACUUGCUCUUCUUCAACUUCUUGUUGUCGGGCUCCGCCCUCGCAAUAUUCUUUGCGCCUAGCCGUCACGGAUUGGUUUACGCCUAGACGGGAUAGAACGAAGAACGGAUCCGCUUUAGCCUAGAGGGAUAUUCGGAUAAGCGGAUCAGCCGAUCUUGCUGUUUUGACCUUCUUUGUUGCCUAGAAGGAAGAGACAAUUACAGAGGUGCAAAGAAUAUUGCGGUAAGAUAAGAAAGAGGGAGAUUAUGAAGAAAAGAAGCGGAUAAGCGGAUCAGCCGAUCUUGCUGUUUUGACCGCGUAGUGGGUUACGGAGAAGAAGGAAGGGUGAAGGGUGAAAGAGAGAGAAGAACUUCCGAAAGAGGUCUCGCAACCGCGUAGUGGGCAUUGACUGCAUAGCUGCUGAAUACCUAUCAUACUUGUCCGGCUUUUCAUUGUCGGCCAUAUCGAUCUGGCUGCCUUCUUGGGGCUUCGCCCUUCAAUAUUUUCAGCGGAGCGGAGUAGCAGAGCGGUGGGUUCGGGGGGCUUCGCCCGCGGAGGGGGUUUGAUCCAGGAGCGUAGCGUAGCCUUUAAAGAAGCACUUGAUCCCUUAUCAAAAAAUAGGAAGGAUCCAUAAGACAGGGAUAUUGUAAGAGAAAGGGAUAUUGUAAGAGAAAGGGAUAUUGUAAGAGAAAGGGAUAUUGUAAGAAUUUGUGGAUUCUUCUUAAUCAGUUCAUUAACGAGAAUGAAAGAAUAAUUCGGAUUGAAUAACCUGGAGGGAAAUCCAGAAUAGACCCGUAUUUCUCCGGACCAGAAACCAUAAGAAAACUCUGUUCAUUGAUUUUACCUGUCCUAGGAGUUCUUCUUUCAUUGCGUUUUCCCGGCUUUUUUGCUUCUAAAUAGGACUAAAUCAAAGAUUUCUAUUUAACGAAAAUAGAUCAAAAAUGACAGAUUUUUCAUGAUUUCUUGCUACUAUUUCUUUUCAGCUCUCCUUAUCAGUCGAGCCCAAAACCUAGCAUUUCCCUCCGCGGAUUCAUCUGAAAUCUAGCUCUGAAAUCUAGCAGAUUCAUAAUUCUUCUUUCAUUCUAGUUAUGAAAUCAUAAUGAUUCUUUCAUUCUCGUUAAUGAGCUUCUUUCUUUGCGCCUUUCUUUCUCCGUCCGAAGGACUAUCCAUAUUAAUCGCGGAAGCGGAGCGUAGCGGAAAGAGCCGCAAUAUUCUUUGCACCUUUGUUUGAUGUUUGAGAAAAGAAAAAUCGCAAGUCAAAUUCUCUAAUGGAUAGGCCUCUAAUUUAUCAUAGCGAAUAGUCCAAAAACAAAGGUCCAGAUGAAAAAUAGCAUUUUACCGACUCCUCCUACGCUAUAUACUCCUUCGGACGUCCUCUGGACUAUUCAUCCUAUUACUUCUUUGAUUUCAAGCUUCCGUCGGACUGAUUAAUGGAACUAAUAUUUACGGGAGGCUCAAAGAAUUUGAGAUCAUUCUUUCUCCCCUCCAAAAUAAUUGAGCCUCAGGCGCAAAGAAUAUUGCUCGAAGGAUCAAUGAAAUUUGAUGAUAAAGAUUAGACUGAACUUUGAACCUUGUUCAUUGUCAAUAUUCUUUGAACCUUACUAAGGAAAGAAUGAAAUAAUUACUCAAAUUGUAUCUUAGCUUUAGGCUAGUCCUAGCUUACUCAACGACGAAUACGACUCUUUCAGUGGAUAGCAGCAAGGGCCCGAUCCAACUCGCUUGUACCAGUCUGCCUCUACUUUCUUUUUCCGACACUGAAUUCUUCCUCUUAGCCUGAACCUAGGCUUUCCUUCCUCUCAUGAUAUAUUCCUGAGCAAUAUUCUUUGCGCCUCUCCCGCCUUCUAAUUGGAUCUGGACCUUUCUUUUUGGACUGAUUUUGAUCCAUAUGACUCCGGACUGAUUAAUGGAACUGAGUAUAUUCACCUUUUAUUUGCCGCCUUGAUUUUCUUCAUGGAUUCUUCAAAGAGUGGAAUCAUUGAUUUGUUAUUAGAUAUCUCUCUCUCCUAAUCCUCUCGAAACUGCACUCAUUCUGAUUCAACUUCGGUCGUUCUAAUGGAUUUCUCAAUCUGAAGCCUUUCUUCUUUUCUUAGAUAAAUGCGCUUCGCUUCGCGCAUCUGGACCCCUCCGGAGGAGCAAGGAAUAGUGCAGCGCAAAGUGCGGAUAACUUCAAAAAUCUUUGAGCCUUUAUUUAGGCCUUCGAAUAAGGAGGAGCUUACCUCUCAACGGAUGAGGUGCAGCCAACUACUUAUGAAAGAAAAGGACUGAUUUUCACAUACUUAUGUAUGAAAGGAGAACCGCUACGUUUUCCUUUUCAGGCGACUGCAACUGCCAAAACGGACCUCUUCGCGGCUUCCCUUGACGGAACGAAGAGCGGCCUUAUCCCCUGCCCUGAUCGCGAGACGUGUAUCCUGCACCGCGGAGUGGGAUGCCUAACCCAUUUAUGUCUUCGACCCGAAGCUUCUUUGUUUUGAAGCCAUGAUGGAAAAGAAAAACCUUUGAAUGUGGGUAGAAGGGAACCUCAAAUCCCUUGUUUCCCACUUUCAGUUACUUACUCAACUAACUCUUAAGGAAGAAAGGUCAGACGAUAAAGCAGACCCUAACAAGACUAUUAUUUAAGACUAUUGAGCCCACGGAGCGGGAAGAACUGAUGAACAUAAGGCCUAAUUUUGGGGGCGUCCUUAGUGGUCUAAGCCCACGUAGGGGGAAGAAAGAAAAGAGCUCCUAAUCUCUGGGUCCUCCGUUUUAGAGUCCUUCGGUUAAUUACGGAUGGUCCUACGGAUAAAUCCUCCGGACUACUUCCUUCCAUAUGGAUGGUCCUACGGAUAAAUCACCUGGACCUUUCUUUGGCCCUGCGGACGUAGGACGUAGGAUAAGAAUCCUGCGGACUCCGGACCACUAUUUAAUAUUGAAAGUAAUAGCUAUCGAUCAUUCUUUGAGCUAUAAAGCCAUUAAUCAGUCCUUCGCUCAAUGAAGAAGGUGAAAAGAAUAUUUCAUGAAGCUUACCUUCCCUUCUUCCUUUUGCAGUAAGCGCCUCAAUGAAGAAGGGCUAUUUCAUCCGGUGCUAUGGCCCUUCCCGCCCUUGAUGCUUUAUUCUCUUCAGCAAGUUAGGAUGCAAGAAAGAAGGAUGUGACUGAGAUUCUGAUUAGAUGACUUUGAAGGAAAAGUGGUACUUUCUCUUUGCUUCAAUCAUAAGAUGGUAACCCGCCCUAAGCAAGAUCGGUUCAGCAGGCCAAUUCACGCAUCUUCCGCAGCCCUAUAUGGAAAUGCUCGCCUUCGUCUUUUUUUCAUCCGGACUGAACGGUAAACUUGGGGUUCAGAUACAUCGUACCCCUAUGAUGAAAUCCGCCUAUUCCAUGGAUAAAGAAGUCCCACGUAGGAAAAAUGGUCGUUUUUGGAAGGCAAUAUUCUUCGCUCCUGCUAACCGUCCUCCGGACUAUCCGUAUGAACCUAGCCUUCGGACCAGUCCUCCGGCGCAAUUCAAUAUGCGACUUUGAACCUUUUUUUUCCUCUUUCUCUGAUGAGACUGAGUUCUCUUGUCGAUGUAGAGACUGAUGGGAAUAGGUCCAUACGAUGGAAUAGGGUCUCUUGUCAACCAGUGAGCUGUGAAGCGGCCUUCCUUCGCGACAAGUCAAUGAUUAGGACACCUUUCAGCGUCCAAUGAGUUCAGGGAAGGGGUUCAAGCCCUAAUCCAAAGUCUAUCUUCGCUAUAUCUUAACCUUAGCACUUCUCUGUACUAAGCUCUUUCACCCUGCUUUAGUAAAUGGCGCGUCUUUGAGUUCGUACUAUUACUCAGCAUGCAAGGUAUUGGUCUUUCGGGAAGAAAAUCAGGCUUGAAAGUCUUCUUUGGUGGGAGCCGUAGUUCGUAUCGUCUAUUGGCUCCCAAUUAUCAUUGCCUAUCCGCUCGAAGCCUUUAAGUAAAGGACUGGGGAAUUCCAUCAAUACUGAUCGUAGACAAUUGAGAUUAAGUGGGAAGAGUAGACUUGAAAGCGAGCGGGAAGAUGGCUGGGAGUAGCCUUUAAGAGUGCUGGUCUACCCCGAUUUUCCCAUUGAGAGGGAGGGAGCCACCCCUAUUCAAUUAGUAGAGCUCUAUUGAACCUUGGAAUUGGCCAAUCACCAAGGGCGAUCUUAGGUUAGCAUUCUCUUAGAAUAGAACGAACUCGAAAAAUCAGCGGUACGGCACAGCCGGGGAGAGCGAAGAAAGGUAGAGCACAACUAUCAUUUUCAGAAAGAAUCCCGCAUCCGAAAGAAGUAAUGCAAUUGCUUGACCCAAGAAGGUAAGGGAGAGGAAAGACCCCUACCGCUAACUUCUCUGGCCUAAUCUCCCAGAAGAAGAAGAAGAAGAUUUAGUGGUUUGAAAGUCAUAAGAGGCUCAAAGAAUGAUCGAAGGCGCAAAGAAUUUGCGAGCGACAGAUGACUGAGCAUCUGAAAAAAAGAGAAAUAGUUAUGACUUUAGAAACUUGUAAGAAAGAGAAGAUCGGCCUGGACAGAAGAGGAAAGAAGACUCCUUAUCGAGGAGAAAAGUCUAAAAAAGAUAUCAUACUCCAGCUCAUAAGCUCAUUCUUUUCUGCAAAUGAGGCGUCCGAAGGACCAAACCUUUUUGACCGCUACGCUCCUCUCCGCGGUGAUGAACCGAAAAUCUGAUAAUAGAUAGUCCGGAGGACGGCUCAAGACGAGCCGUCCGCUCCUUUUGAGUCUGAUUCCACUAAAAAAAAUGACGACGGAGCACUCGUCCUACGUAGCUUAAUAUGGGAGUCAGAAAUCCCGGGUUAAUAUGGAUAGUCAUCUGGACCUUGAUUUUUGGAGGCUCAAAGAAUCUCACGGAGGGGGAUAGUCCGGAGGACUGUUAAGGCUCAAUGUAAUAUGAGUGAAACCUAUUACUUUUCCAUAAUACUUUCAAUAAAAGUGGCAAUAAUGAAAGAUCAUGACUUCCUUCUUCUUCUUUCUGGGAGUCCGGAGGACCGGUCUUCUCUCAAAUUUCAUUGAGCCUAACUAUUCCUUGCUCCUCCAGAGGGAUCAUGACUCUCGCAAUAUUCUCAAAAUUGGAAGUGGAAUCUCACGUUCCCUAAUGGAUAGUCCUUCGGACCUGUCUUAUGGAGCAAAAAGAAAGAAUGUCAUCGUAAUCUCAUAUUUCAUUGACCGUUAGGCGCAAAGAAUAUAUUUAGAGUUUACAAAUUAGGAGAAAGUGCUGAAGAAUGAACUCAUUAACGAUAAUGAAAGAAGCUAAAAACAAAAUUCAUCCGCUAGAUUGAAGACGGAGUGAAAUACAUGAUUUUGCUAGUGAUAAGGAGUCCGCAGUCCGCAGUCCUACGUCCGCAGUCCGCAGGAUUUAUCCGUAGUCCGGAGUCCGCAGUCCGCAGGGCCAAAGAAAGGUCCAGGUGAUUUAUCCGUAGGACCAUCCAUAUGGAAGGAAGGAGGACUAUCCAUAUUCAGGAGCGGAAUCAAGAAUAGACCCGUCAGUAUCCGGACCAUAAACUCAAACUAGAACUGAUCCAUGUGAAUUUCUGGGAUAGGCUUGAUUCUUUCAUUGCGUUUUCCCGGCUUUUUUGCUUCUUUUUCAUACUUUUUCUCAUAUGGAUAUUCUACGAUAAUUGAGUGAAAAAGAAGGAAUUUUCAUGAUUUCUUGCUACUUUAUAGGCCCAAAACCUAGCAAAAUCUUGUAUUUCCCUCCGUCUGAAAUCUAGCAGAUUAAUCUUCAAUCUCCCUCUUUCUUUUGAAUUCCCAUUUUUUUCUUCUUUCAUUAUCGUUAAUGAGUUAAUUAUUCUUUUCUUUUCUUGACUUUUCACAGGCUCAAUGCAAUUUGAGCUUUCACCGCUACGCUACGCUGGAGCUACUCCGAAAGAAAGGUGCAAAGAAUAUUGCCGGACUACUGGGGGAUAUUGUUGAGAAAGAAUUAUCUUUGCGAAGGUUCAGCUUCAUUCCUAGGGCAUGUCCUCCGGACUAUUCGCUAUGAUAAAACCACUAAUACUCCGAAACCUCGAUCAUUCUUUGUCUUUGAACGCUUCUUUGUCAUUGAGUUCAUCUUUUCACCUUAUUCUUAGGCGAAGGCGCAAAGAAUAUUGAUAUUGCGGGAACUGAUUUUCAUAGCAAAGAUUCCACUAAUAGAUUUGCCGACGAAUGAAUAAUGAAUAAAGCUUGCCGAUCGAUCUUUAAAGAAAAGCCUCUCUUCAAAGAGAUUACGAGACAGAUUACCUAGCAGCCAAUUCCCUGUCUUCUCUCUCUUUCCAUAUGGAAUUCCCUUGGAGAAUAGACGAAGAGAUGUGAGAGCUUCCACGGAGAAAAAAGAUAAGCCUACUCCAUCCUCUCAAAUUCUUUGACCCAUCUUUUGUAUAGUUAUAGUAUAGCUUCCGGCUAGUUCACACCGAUAAAGGAGAAUAAGAGAUAGGGUCAAGCCUAUUCUACUCCGGAUAUGGUCUCGUAGUAAUCCCCUUCCCCUUUUCAGAUCUGAGGCCUCAUCUAAUUCCCCUCGUAACCCCUUCCGAUUCCUUUGGUAUUCUACGAGGAGCUUUGCUCCCUCGAGCAGCCUUUCUCCUCUAGGUCGAGUCGUAAACAAAGUAUAUUGCCUCUCUGGCCCGGCUCGAGCAGCUUAGUAAUCCCCUUCUCCAACCCUUUGCUUCUGAAAGAAAGAGAAAGAGAGAAUGAAAUCUCUCGCUGGACGGGUUAGCUGUGUCUAACCUUCCCCUUAGAGAUAUGAUAAGACCUCUACAACUCGGUCAGCUCAAACCAAAAUAAUAGCCGCAAUAUUCUUUGCGCCUGGACCUUUCUUUUUGCCGCUUAAUGUCUAAUCUUUCUCAAUCUUCUUUCUCACGCAUAUUUCAUUGCGCCUCCAAAGUCAAAUUCUCUAAUGGAUAGGCCUUCGAGCAAUAUUCUUUGCGCCUUCCAGUCUUGUCAACGCAUAUUGAAUUGCGCCUUCUAUAUAUUCUUUGCGCCGGAGUUAGGAGCUAUUCCACUAACGAGCCUUUGGCUUUCUUCUUUUCAUUCACAUUACCGCGUAGUGGGAUUCUUUGAGCCUUGUUCAUUGACUUUCUUCUCUAGUAAAGCUUUUUUUUUGUUCAUGCUUCGCUAGGCUUGAUCUUUUUAGUGGGAAUAUAUAGGAUGAAAGUAGCGGCAUAAUAAUAGAAAGGUGGAAUCCUUGCUUUAUCUCUUUUUUCAUCCUCCUUCCCUUUAUCCUUUUAUUCCCUUUAUCUAAGAAAGCUGAAAUCUCGUGAAUGGAUGAGGACUGAAUUCAAAGUUCAAAUAGGAGGCUCAAUCCCACGGAGGGGGAGUCCGCAAUAAUCAGCCUACGUCAGGCUUUCGGUGAUUCAUUCAUGGUGGAUAAGGAUCGGUUUUCAUAUGCACAAUGGUUGAAUACAAGGAACCUCGUUCAUGAGCUAGGUCGCGGGAUACCAUUUUCUCAUGAAAGAGCGGACACAAGACAAGAGCCGAAACUCUAUAAGAAAAUCAAGCUCCAGAUGAGUUGACGCUCGAACCCCACGAUCUUCCCCCCGACUGAAUCCGGCUAACCGAGCCAAUGAAGAGUGAUUAUAGCGCGUGGAGCAUUUUUUUUUCCUUCGUAGCUUCCCAAGAACUAAUGGGGAAGGCUGCAUGAAUAUAAAUGAGAAGUGGAAUCAUCCAUCCUCAACAAGGUCUGCAACCGCUUUCUUUCUCCCGCCUGGGUCGCUGCCUCCCUUUCUUUUAAUGGCACCAAGUCCGAGAUUCCCCGAUUACGCCAAGGAUUCCGCGCCCGGAUGGAUCCUUGAAAGGAGAGGCAAAGCCAAACCCGUAAACCGGCUUCAAACUUCCUGAAACCCGGGAAAAUGAGCCUGAGCAGGUCAGCACACUUUUCUACGAGGGAAAGGUUUCGGCCAGAUCAGUGGCAUCCGCUGAAAGGGCAGUUGCUAGCCCUCGUCUUCUUCUCAAUCGAAAGAUCGGAAAGCUCGAGAAUGAGAGAGUAUUUCCUAUUUCCUAGCGGAAUGAAGAUUUUCUAUAUGACUGUAGUGAAUAACUAAGAAAAGAUUCCAUGAAGACCAGGGAACCGCGGAGUGGGUCACGGGGCAGAGGCAUAGAGGUUAGAAAGCGCAAGACCAUACCGAAAAGAGACUGCAGGUGAAUCCGUCGGAGGAAGCCAGAUUAAGCAGAUAGGUAGAAGGGAAGGGUCAGAGCGCCGGAAGUCGGAGGAGGAGCUCUCUCUCGCUCUCCUUUCUUUCUUCUUUCAGUAGCCCUCGCUUUUCUUGCCAGCAUGCGGAUUCUUCUUCCUGGCAGCUAUCUCUCUUGCCUCAUCUUUAGCUUAAUUCAAUUAACCUACUAUAUCAAGGAUGAAAAGGCUUAAGGAUUGGAUGUCCCAUCCCAUUCUCUUAAAGACAGUGACUUCCACCCAUGAGAAAAUAGUCCUAAUAGGGGGGACGUCCCUCUUUCAUUAUCAGCUAGGAAGCAUGGCUCUCCUAACUCAAUUCAAUCUUCUUUGAACCUCCCGUACGCCCACUCGACGUCCUCCACCAGGAGCACUAUUAUCAUAAGCAAGAGAGUCCGAGGUCCCUUUCGGCAGUUGCAGCUUGCUUCGGGCUCGCUUUCUUCUUUUUCUCAAAAUUAGUUGAUUGCUAAGGCCUUUCUUCAAAAUUUCCAUGUCCCAAGAAAAAUGUGAAGACGGACGGAGACGUGAUCCCAUUCAAUCCUCGGACAGGAGGAUGGAGUGUGAAACCUCUUUCCUAACCUCGUCCUUUCGCACAAAGGCUUGAAUCCACGUAAAUUGCGAGAAGAGGUGGCCUAUUUCCUUAUUGCCUUUUCUUGUAAUAAAUCGCCAACAAUAUCCCUUAUGGAGCCUACAAUUGAGUGAUUUUUCUAUCUAUUUUCCUUGGUCUAAUCUGAACCUCUUUUAGUAGUUUCGCUCGAGCGUGAACCUCAACCGGCGGACGACCCUCUUUCAUUAUCAGCUAGGGCGAGAGUCCUACUCGAAGUUACUAAGUUACGUGAUAGAACUCAUUUCUUUAAGAGUACAAAUCAGUCUUUAUUAAGAGAAGAUGGGACUUCGACCAGUUAGUUCUCAGCCUUUCCUUUCUAUUUUGGGUCCGAUCUCAAGAUAACUUCCGCCUCUGAUUAAAGGACGAAGUUGUCUUCCUUGUCUAAGUCAUCUCUCAACAAAUCAAUAUCCCCUAUCCAUAGAUCUUUGCGCCUUCUAUAUAUUCUUUGCGCCUCCUUCUCCAUCCCUAUUUCUUUAUUUAUGGAUGUUCAUUGAGGCGUCUUGACCCCUUAUUUAGCAGAUAAAUGCGCUUCGCUGAUGAUCUCAACUUCUAUCACUUUUUUAUGGAUUCCUUGCUUCUAACCAACUCAAGAACAAGAGGUGAAAAGUCGCAUAUUUCAUUGCGCCUCCGGACCGGUCCCUAGGCUUUCUUCUUCUUUUGGAGCCUCAGUCAGACAAAAGAUUACCCGCCCCAAAGUCGAGGCCAAAGGCCCACGUAGCGGUAAUUUGAAUAAGGAAGUUUCAGACCCACUCAAGCGAAACUAGGAAAGAAGCGAUAUGGCCCCUGGUCUUGAGGGCAGGGACUUUUCCUACGAUACCAGGCGAGACUAAGCAGAAAUAGGAAGUGGAAGUCAUUCUUUAUCCAAGCCAACCGCUUUCAAGCCCCUCUCCGCUGGAUCUGUCCUUUGAGACGACUAUGCCCUACUAGUUUACUUAGUCCCUUCCCUUGUGUGCCAUCCGGAACUGCUAUCCCUUAAGGUUUUUAGCUGCUAUCCCGCCUGGGAAUCUACUGCUACCUACUCCAAUAUAAGGCUUGGGUGAAUGAUUGGAUCCCGACAUAAGUACUCUAUCCACUCCUUCUUCUUCUUAGUCUUUGACUUCAGCUUCUUACCUGGAUUCUGCUUAUUCUGCUUCACGAAAAUGAAAGCCCAGUGAGGAAGUACUUGAAAAAUGCAAUUUUCCAGCUCUUAGAAAAGUCAGAAUUCUAAUGUGAACCACUUCCUAAUCUUUGUCUUGAGUUAGUGCUUUUGAGAUUGAUGAAAGGAAAGCUUUUCGGGAGCUAGCAGUCCUUCUUCUUUGCGAAAGAGAGUAGCUCAAGCAAGUCAAUUUCCCUUAAAGAAGAUAAUGAACUAAGAGCUUUUCUGCGCUACAAAGAAGAAAGGAUAGAGAUAGAUAGUUGAAUAAGCUAGACCGCUGCAGGUGCAAAGAAUAUUGCGAAUAAGAAGAUAUUAAGAAGAUCUUCCUUCUGUGACAUUUAGCCCGAAGAAAAUCAGCCUAUUCUAUACCAGCUUCUUCUAUAGAUGAGAUAACUGGAUCAGAUGAAAUAGCAAGGGAUAUGAGCAGCUCAAGCAGCAGAUUCUAUUCUGGGCAUGAAUGUGCAACCUAUCGAAAGAAAGAGUCCUCUACUUCCCACCGUGGCAGCUAAAGUCCUUCUCAAUAUUCUUUGAGCCUCGGUCGAAACUUUCCCCUUUCUUCCUUCAACCACGUAGUGGGGUCGAUCCGAUACCUCCCUGUGGAAAUACAAGGGCGGGCUAGUCUCAUUCCGAAAGAUAGAAGAGAGAUUGCACCCCUUUUGAUUUGAUGAAAUUACAUGCUCUCCGAACUCCUCUCGUGCCUAUCGCUGUCUCUGAAUAAGUAGCCCUGCACCCAUCUUUCCUCCGCACGCACCUGCACCCUACCUCUCUUUACCUCGCCCUGGCUAACUCCUUUCCCAGUCUUCUUUCUAUAUUAUAUAACCUCUUGACUUCCUUCUUUUAUUCAAAUGCAUCCGUUAGUGGGUCAAGCUGCUUUCGCUCCUUCUCCUUACAGUCGGAAAUCUUAGCAAUAUUCUUUGCGCCUCAAAAUCAACUCGGAAAUCUCUCAAAUUGCAUUGAGCCUCAAUUCAAUCUUCUUUGAACCUCGUGCCUCUCUCUUGGACUGGGUUGUGCUAUGGCUUGAAUCUCGCAUAGGGCGAAAUUUGCACAUUCGAACUAAGAUAAGAACAAGGGGUUUGGCUGAAUUCUAAUGGUUCAUUCUCAUUCAUGAAAGAAAGCAAGGGUAAUUAUCCUGAAAAGAAGGAAAAAGGACGCGUAGGAGGAGGCUCCAUAAGACAGGGAUAUUGUAAGCCGAUAUUGCUGUUUUUACCUGAAUUACGAAGUGAAAGAAGCCGAUCUUGCUCUUUUGACCUCAUUUGGCUCUAGGAUAAAAUCACACAAUUACGGAGUGAAAAAAAGAAAGAUUAUACUUGCUUUCUCAAAUUCUUUGAGCAUCGACCGCCUUGAUUUUCUUCUUUUAUGAGGCACAAAAAGAAAGAAUGUCAUCGCAUAUUUCAUUGCACCGCGGAGUGGGUUCCAUUCUUCCCGCUCCCUUCUCGUACGCCUAAGACAAUAUCCAUUCUUCCCGCGUAGUGCUUUCUUUAUUUCUAGUCCUCCGUCCAAACAAACCGAGCACCUUUCGCUCUUUCGCAAUAUUCUUUGCUCCUACCGGUCCUCAGUCCUAUCCAUUAGAGAAUUUGAUGAGGAGGAGAGAAAAUCUUCUUUUCACCUUUCUAGUCGGACUAGAAAUCCAUUAUUUUGCACUUCUUUAUCAAGCUUAAUCUGUGGACUUGAUUUAUGGGGUGAUGAGACAUGCCCUUGUCGAGCUUCGAUAAUUCUUGAGAAUAUGAAUUCACCGCUCCUCUUGAGGCUGAAUGAAUAUGAAUAUGAGAAAGAAUUUGAUGUUUUUCUUUCUCACGCAAUAUGCUUUGCGCCAUCAAAGAAAGGUCCAGGGUCCGGAGUCCGCAGUCCGCAGUCCGGAGUCCGCAGGGCCAAAGAAAGGUCCAGGGUCCUACGUCCGCAGUCCGCAGGAUUUAUCCGUAGGACUAUCCAUAUGGAAGUAGUCCGGAGGAUUUAUCCGUAGGACCAUCCGUAAUUAACAGAAGCAGGCGAUCAGAAUGAUCGGAGUGCAAGUAAAGAAAUCCAUAUUUGUGGAUAAGAGAGGUCCUUCGGACUGGACCCUUUCUAAAUUGAAAAUUCACCAAUGGCGUCAUAAGGUGGUGCAUGGGUUCAUUCUUAGUCAAAGACGGACAACGACACACCAGGACCCAUGGAGGAUGAAAUGAGAGACCGCUAGGGAUGAGGAAUGAACUCGCCGUUUAGGAUGAUGAAUUGAGUUGCUCGACCCGUAGUUUAGCAAUUAGUGGAAUUAACAAGUCCUCCGGUUCCCGCAAUAUUCUUUGCUCCUCACUAUUUAGCGGAAACUGCUUUAUAAGGGAUCAUGACGGAUAUUAUUGGAAUCAGACUCAAGAGGAGCGGUCUCGAAAUAUUCUUUGCACCGCACCGUGGGGGAGGCGCCAUAAGACAGGGAUAUUGUUGACCUCUUAUUUUGAGUUCUUGCUUUCUCUCUAUCUUGAGGCUUCGAACCUUGACGCUUGAUUCUAGUUCACACCGAGUCAACUCUAGCUGCCCGUGAUAGGCAUCCUUCUAAGUCUCAACUUCUUAGUUUAUUCAAUAGAUACCCUCAUUCAGAGGCUUUACGGUCGAGAUCCGAUCCAAGCAAAGAAGGAUUCCUGCUGGGCAGUGGACUUGACUCAAGAGGGAUGGAUGCCGAUUCGAGAAUGCCCUAGCGUGUCUUCCCCGAAAGGCUUUUGAUGCCAUUUCGAAAUGGGCAAGAAGUUUUCUUCUGCAACGAGAGAAGAGAAACUCUCGAUCGGCCGCACUCUGGUCGCGCUUCUCGGGCUGCUAAGGCAUUGAAAGAGACUGAUUUUAUGCGCCUUUCCGGUCUCCGAUCCUGGGACUCGCCUCUCUUUCCUCUCCCUUCCUAUCCCACGGGGUUUGGCACUUUUCUCUGACUCAUUCAAGAGAAAGAGCUCUUCUUUUUCUACUUCCUCUUCUUGCUUAUUAAAUACAUUAUGUCUUUAUUGUACCUUUCUAGUUAGUGAGCUGAGCGGCGCGUAUGAAUAUCAGAGACUGAAGCCGAUCCCUUGUUGAAGAGCAAAGACAGAGCAAGACACCUAGAAGGACCUUGCUGACCCUUGAUCUGCGCCCCCCACUCCGCGGUAAAGCAUCUUCGCACCUCUCACUUACGGGAGAGCAUCUUCGCACCUUGACAUCGAAGAACUCUUGAGAGCUAAGUCCUCUCACUUGAGAAUUCCGGAGUCGAGUUCCUUCGCUUCGGGGAACCCAAGAACCCAACCAAGCAAGGACAAGAGAUCUCAUUCACAGAUACUGGUGCACGAACCCAGUACCCGAAAGGAAGAGCUAACCCAAAGCAAGAAACCUAAGAGGCACCUUGCUCCUUCUUGCUCGUCGUUCUCGGGGAACCCACACCCCCUACCUCUCAUUCUCCUGCUAUGGGGGAAGGACCCAUGCCCCCUGUACCUAAGAGCCUCCUUCUUCCCUCUUCUUGCCAUCUGUUGGACUCAACAACUCUCCUUCUCCUCACCCAAGAACAAUUCAAGGUGCUAGGUGGACCGGACCCUUUCUAUCAUUCCGAAAGCUCCUUUCUUUGCUCAUUUGACCUCUUAUGCCUUCGGGCUGGUACCGAAUUCCCUUGAUGCCUAAUUUCUCUGGCCCUACUUACCACCCUUAUAGCAAGAUAGCUAAUCCAAUCAUGUGAUAAUGGGUGAAUGAAAGCGGGUUUGACUAGUUUGAAUGCUCCAAUCCCAAGUCAAAUGGGAGCAGGUUGGAACCUAGGAGUGGGAUCCACCAUUAGGAAUUCCCAGUUAUCAUGGUUGAGCUAUGAAGUGAAUGGAAUAAAGAGGAACCUACUUACCGAUAGCGAAGCGAAUACUCGUGCAAGCGCAAUCAAUGAAGAAGGGCAGUGGUUUUCUAAAUCAAUGAACGUCCAUAAAUAGGAAGCCUAGGAAGAAAAAGAAGACAAGAGAUCAAUGAACAAGGUUCAAAGAAUAAUAGUAUUCAUGUUUUCAUAGAAAGGAAUAAAAGGAAGAGAACUAGUCCUCCGCGGAGAUAGAGAGAAAGAAGCGUAAUUGAAGGCUGAAAUUUCGUGCAAGUGCAGAGGCAAGGCUCAUUAUCGAAGAAAGCCUAUCCAACUUUCUCUCUUAUGUUUUGAAUUCCACCGCGGGAGUCAGACAGGGAAAAGACAGAGUCAGAGGUCCCAGAUAGGAGCGAAGUAGCUUUACCCAUAUUCAUAAGUUAGAAGCAGCUAUUUUGAAGUUUGAUAGGUAGGAGACAAGAGGGAAAGGCCCACCCAGGAGAGGAGUUCUGAAUAUCGGAUUAUGACUUUCGCAGAGAGAAAGAGGAUUUAUUUAGAAAAGAGCUUCAACCUAUUCUUAGCCCAAGCAAUAGGCGCCGCCAUUCUUUGAAUUAAUUCAUUAAGGAAGAAGAAAUUGAAAAAUCAUAAGUUCAUUCUAGCUCUUUCUGCUGACUUCUUCUGAUUGAGAAAACCCAGGGCAAGCCUUGUAGUCGGCUGGUAAAGGUCUGGCAGAGUAUCAACGGAGAACAAGCUGAAAGAGGAACUUUUCAUUGUGCGGGAAGACGUAUAAUAUGGACUGAAUUCAUAAGCUCGAGUCAGACUUUCAGUGCGAAUUCUCUUUUUUUUCAUGGUUUUGACAUAGCAUAGGCUGAAUGGAAAUUCCUUCUAUCUUGAAAUUCUAUUCUAAGUCGCUUCCCUUCUUCUCUCAACUGCUACAACUCUCCGUCUUCUGAUGUUCCGCUCCGUCGCAAAUUCUUUGGUCCUCCUACGCUUAAGAUGGGACCGGCAAGACCCUGCAAUAUGAAAAGCGCCUGUCUCGCCUCUCCUUUCAGUCGAGAGCCUCCUUCUUCUUCUUUAAAAAGAAGGGUCCAGGUUUCAUAAGACUCCUUCUACGCGGUCUCGCCCAGCUUUUGAAAGAGAAAGGGCGGGCCUCUCGGGAGGAAGCAUAUGGUAAUGGGAAUUCCGCCCACCUACUAUGCCUUCUUCCCUACAAAACGGGGAGGAUAAUUCCACUGAUAGUAAAAGGAUGCCGGAUCGAGCGAGUUAGGGUGGGAAAGAAAUAGGGAUUCUUUGGAAGGAAGAUAGCUCCAGGUAAAGCUACUCAUCAACCUCCUCCUAAACUCAUUUGUACGAGGGGAACCGCGGAGGGAGUGGGCAAAUGCCUUCUUUCUUAGUGAGAAUCUCGUUUUUAGUGAAGCCCAAGGCAGCAUGAUUUCUUCUUUGAACCUCUCUUUGGGCAGAAAGAACUGGCGAGACCAUUUUGAUCCAUUGAAUUGUUGGGGAAGCAGAAAGGUAAAGGUAAGAGUCCGCUCGAUCAAUCCCCACUACGCGGUAAGCUGAAAGAUGCGAUCUGGCCGUCGGCCUAUUUCUUGAUUUCUUUCUUUGACUUUUACGUGGGAUGCAAACUAAACCAUUAGCACAGGCAUUCCAGGCAAUGAUUCGACUUCUUAUCUUGGGGAUUCAACCCCUAUUUAUUUAUGGAUGUUCAUUGAGCGAAGGACUGAUUAAUUCCACUGAUUUCUAACGCAAUAUUCUUUGCUCCUAGCAAAAACUCAAAUUUCAUUCAGCCUUCUGACUGUCCAUAUUAAAUUAAGGAACUGAGUAGGCGGGAGAGAAAGCAAUAGCUCCACCUGUUCGGGAUAGGAAUUCAGGAGAGACCAACUCUCCUCUACUUAAAGUAGCUGCGGCUGUUGAAGGAUCCGUUGAAGCUCUUGAAGCAGAGGUCUUCUUCGACUCCUUCCUUCCUGAAUGAAUGAUAAGGGGCUUCUUUCCUAAUUCAAAGCCUAGGACAAUGAAUGAAUUGCCUUUCCCCUCCCAAUUAAAUUAAUUAACAAAGACUAUAAACAACCUACGGAAAACCAUAGUAUUAAUCAAAGACAAAAAGAAGAAAGCCUAGGAUCAACCCAGAUCCAUUGACAAGAAAGCGCAACUUCGCAAUAUUCUUUGCACCUCCUAACCUAACCAUUAACAACCACUAGAUAAAGACCUCCGGAGCGGUGGAAUAUCGAGGUCCUUUCAGAAAGCCUAAAGAUGAAAUAAAAGGAUAGGCUUUCAGUAUUAUUUUGAGGUUUCAAGUCCCGCAACAAGGCUCCAUAAGACAGGGAUAUUGUAAGGGGUCCAGAUGAGUCAGAAACAUUGAGACCAGGCGCAAAGAAUUUGCGAAGGAACCGAGAAAUGAAAGCGAAAACGAAUAGUCCAAAAACCAAGGCGCAAAGAGCGACGUAGUGCUUUCUUUAUUAAUCCUUCUCCGCCGCAACAAGAGAAGUUCUAGGAUACCGAUAUACCGCAAGAAUGCAAUUCCAUAAACAAGUCGGGAAAUAGAGGGUUGGACUAGCUAGCCGCCCAAUAACUCACAGGUCUUUCUUUCCUUAUUCAUAUCAGAAGCAGAAGAAAGGGAAGAGGAUAAAGUCAUCAAGGAAAAAUCAUGGCAAUAUUCUUUGAACCUCCGGACUAUCCAUAUUAGGCGGACUUCGCCUUAAGACUCCUUGCUAUUGGGUCCGACUAGAAACUGAAAGUAGGAAAGCCUAUCUUUCUCUUUCAGACUCUUUAAAGUCAAGAGGGUAAAGCAUAUUCUAAGCUCUCCCUUUAGCUCUCGCACAAGACCCCUUUAUUUAUGGAUGUUCAUUGAGCCUUGUUCAUUGACUUGAUGCGGUAGGCGAAGAAGCCAUCCAGUAGCAAGCGCUUGAGAAUGAGUCGAAGGCAAAAUCCUUCCGUUUUUGUUUUGAGUAGGCGCUAUCUAAGUCAAUCCGUGCUAAAAGGAAGGAAUAGAAAAGGAAGCCUUGGGCAUAAUAGUCAGAGAGAGUAAGGGAAGUCCUGCUUUCAAGUGCUUUAUCGUAAGGGUCUGAAUAGGGUCCACCAGUAGCUGCUCUUAGUAAGACCAGUCACAGGGAUAUAUCGCUCAAAAUUCAAUAUCAAAGAGAUUGCAUUGAUACUUAGACUGAUAGCGAGCCGGAAGAGCAAAGUGAUGAAUCAGUCGAGACAGUCUUAGCUAUAAUCUCUGCCCUUACCGUGGAGUGGGUAUCUUUUCUCGUCUGAAAAGAGAAUAGUCUUCCUCUCUUUGUGAAUUUGCAGGUUUGAGAUUAGAAUGCCAUACUCACCCUGCAACUUACAGAAUCCGCAGCGAAAGAAAAGAUUCAAUCUUAUUCGUAAUGCUGGCUAAGAGAUUUUCGAUUCAGGGCGGGAUGGGACUGUAAAAUGGGUGAGGUAGGGUCUAAUCUUCGCUCUACGAGAGAAAGCUGAAAGGCCCGCUAAAAGUUGGAGAAGGAGCGAAAGAUAUCACGAAAUACCUUGAUCAAAGAGCAGACCCAAGGAAGGGAGUGCUUCGAUUCCCUUUAGCUCUUAGCUCUACGGAUGACUAAGAAGGCAGGAUCAAAGCGGGUGAGAGCAGGAGCACUGCUCGUCCUGGCAUAGCCGUAUGAUUUCGUCACAGAUUGUAUUCUCUCAUCCCGGCUUGUAAUGGCGAAAGCUAGAUUUCAUGGACCAGGUUGCCCUUUUUAUUCUUUCAAAGACUAUUACAAAGAUUACUCUCCGUCGCACUCACGGUCAUUAGUCUGGUUAGCUCUUCCUGAUAGGUUGAAAAGGAUGAAAGCCUUCUGACUUUCCUGACCCAUAGUCAGAUUUUUCAUACUCUGGAAAUCAGAUAAAAAGGUGAAAAGAAUAUUGACGGUUGGGUUCCUGGACAAAAAGGAUGAAAGUCGAGAAUUUCUUGGGUCCAUGUGAGCUAAGAGGUUUCUGAUGAGUGGUAGAGCAGUUGAUCUAAGCCUCAGUGCGGAUGAUGAAUUCUCUGACACAUGGCCAUCUUCCCUCUUAUUAAAAAGAAAAAGCCUACUUUGCUUUUCGGGUAUUGAGCUCACUGGGAAGCCUUCGCUUGAACCCUCAUUGCUACCGUCCUUUGACUUCACGGAAGAUUUGGUAUCCAACCUCUACCUUUUUUGGUUGGCAUUCCCAUUAUUCUUUCUACUCGUCUUCUUGGACUGGACUUCGGUGACGAAGGGAUCGAAGAUUUGGAUGAUCCAAGGUCGCGGCCUCCCAAGUUCUGCUGAUUGCCUGAUAUGGCUAAAUUCGAUGGUUCUGGAGAUCCCAAAGCCCCUAUAUUUCAGAAUAUCUUCUUGCGAUGAAGACCACUACUCUCAUCACGAAGGAGCGCAUUUCCUUCUUUGCUCUCUUUUUGGAAGGAGGAGCAAUGCGGUGGUACUAUAGCUUGGAUGCCAAGAUAGAGGUGGGGCGAGAUGGCCGAAAUCCGGAGCAAUUUGGAUACAAUGUCCAGCUUGAUCUUACUUUGCCUGAACACUACCAGGCGGCUCCCAAAGAUCUUCUUCAUUCAUUUCCAGAUGGAGUGGACCUCUUGCAAGCCUUCGCAAGCCUGCGCAGGGUAUCCCUAUUAUAGUGGGACAAGCCAGGUUCCUUCGUCAGUAAGGAAGAGACCGAGCCGUAGUAUAGUCCUUGAUGUGGUAAAUCUUCCUAGCCCCGGUAUUACGCAAAAUGUAGGAGUAUCCUAGCUUGCAGAAGAAGAAAAGAAAGAAGAUCUAGCCCAUAGUAAUCUAAUAGGAUUUACUCAUCAUAAAAAGGAAAGAAAGAUUUCCUUAAUCUAUUGAUAUUAGAAUAUUGAAGGGAUUUAUCCCCAAGAAUAUCCCGUCCUUCGGACAGACGGGUUAAUAUGGAUAGUCCUUCGGACUGGCACAAAAGUCAAUCAAAGAAAAUCAGAAUGAACUCAUUAACGAGAAUGAAAGAAUCAUUAAGAAAUGAAAGAAGAAUUAUGAAUCUGCUAGAUUUCAGACUAGUCCUUCGCGGAGUGAAAUCCCGGAAAAUGCUAGGUUUUGCCCAUAGGGAAGUAGCAAGAAAUCAAGUCAAAUGCCUUCUUUUUCACUCAAUUAUCGUUAUUUAUCAAUAUGAGAAAAAGUCCUAUUUAGAAGCAAAAAAGCCGGGAAAUAGCAAGGCAUUGUCCUAUUUGAUUUUCGAAAUUCACAUAGUUUGAUUCUUGUUUGAGUUUAUGGUCCGGAGAAUUACGGGUCUAUUCUUGAUUCCGCUCCUGAAUAUGGAUAGUCCUCCUUCCUUCCAUAUGGAUGGUCCUACUUCGGUUAAUUACGGAUGGUCCUACGGAUAAAUCCUCCGGACUACUUCCCUCCAUAUGGAUGGUCCUACGGAUAAAUCCUCCGGACUACGGAUAAAUCCUGCGGACUCCGGACUCCGGACUACUUCUGUUAAUUACGGAUGGUCCUACGGAUAAAUCACCUGGACCUUUCUUUGGCCCUGCGGACGUAGGACCCUGGACCUUUCUUUGAUGGACUUCUUUAUCCAUUAGUCGUUAGGCGCAAAG